RNAcentral lists this long non-coding RNA (10708 nucleotides) under Eucalyptus grandis. RNAcentral describes it as "long non-coding RNA (EGRA_LNC004098)". The record is from RNAcentral. Lineage: Eukaryota; Viridiplantae; Streptophyta; Magnoliopsida; Myrtales; Myrtaceae.
CCCAUUUCUAGAAGCGUCUCCAUCUUCACUCCCUCUCCGUCGCCUCAGUCCCCCCGGCAGCCACCGCGCUCGUCCUCCAUCGCUGGCCACGACAACACUCAAUGCACUCAGCAAAGAUCACACAGGGUGGGGAGGCUCAAAGAUUUCUAAACGGCCAGAGAAUUAUCUCUCUUGGCUCCUUGCUUCGUCUGGUGACCUCCAACUGACCUCCCGGAUCGCUCCACCACCAGGCCGUAGCUCUGUCAGCACCGUUCUCCGGUCAGUUUGCUUUGGCUGCUCUGAAUUUGUUCGUUUCUCCUUCGCUGGCUCCGAUCCUCAACGUCAUUGUCUCGCACAACCUCUUCCACUGAUCCGAUCGUCCUUCGUGCAUCGGAUAACAUAAACACUAUAAUCUUCCUUCUUCGUUCUUAGCUUCAUGAAGAGAGACCCAGCAUAUUUGUGUGAUUUUUGUUGUUCAAAUUCACUGCUGGCGUGUCAAUGCGCGCGCUAUAAGUGCUUUUUAUGAUCCAUCGCAUGAAGUGCUCACUGUGACAUGUUCAUAUUAAUAAUCUGAAUCAUAAAUCAACGUUCACUGCAAUGCGUGUUCGUCUGUUAGAUGGUCGAUUCUUGUUUAGUUCUCUGCCAAAAAUCUUGCAAACAUGAUUCCGUCUUCAUCUAUGUUACUUUGGCGGUUUCUGGAUUGAUGUUCCGUAAACUGUAUAAUCUCUUCUACUGGGAGGAGAAAGAAAUUCUCAGCAUUAUCUCCCACAUGCUUAAAAUUUGUUCUCAUGUUUUUUACAUUGGAUCACCUGACCAUUGAAAUUAAUAUGAUUUCUUUUCUAUUGAUUGUGUGUUUGAUGAAUCCAAGUAACAAUCCAAGGUAAGUUUCGAUUGUCUGCAAUAUGAAUUUGGUGGCUGGGGAGGUUCCGCUGUGAAACGUUGGCCUCAGUUGUUCUGAAUGAAAGAAUACGUUUGCUUGAAUUGUCAGCUUAAUAAGGAAGAGAGUGACGCAGGCUACAGUUUGUUGUGAAAAAGAAACAAGCAACAAUUGCCGAGUUUCUGUUAUGUAGGAAAUGGAAGCGAAUUAGAAUAACUAAUGUGCUUUUGAGCAAUGAUGCUGAUUGCUGGAUUAUCUUUGUGAACAUAUGGUAUCUUUAUUUCUCUUUCGAACAUUUGGUAUUUGCUUCGCUCUCUUACUAGUAACCAGUGCCGCAAACUUCUUGGUUGAUUAAUUCCUCUUUCUGCAAAUGACUCUGGCCCCAGUUAUUGUCCACUUUCAGUAUAUGAGUCCUCAUUGUAAUUUGAGUACCGGUUGAUGUGAUACAGUCUUGUCGGUUCAUUUCUCAAUAUGUUUCCCAAAUGUUGCCUGUUGUAAAAAAUUUCAAAUAUUAAAUUCCAUCAGCCUCAGUUUUUUCCCUUUCUUUGUUGAUCAGAAUUCUGUGUUUGUAUGAGCUAGAUCUUUGCCCUGGAUCAACUCAAACGAUAUUUUAUCAUAGAUAUUUAGGAUGGAGUAUUUCCUUAGUUGGCUACUUUGUGGCUUUUGCCGCUGAAAGUACAUUGACUCGCUAGAAGGAAUUAGUGUUCUGUAAGUGCAGCCAAUUUUUUUUGUUAAUUUUGCUGCUAGGUGUGAUGAUGUUCAUGGAAUGAAUGCUCAUCAGAUUUGGUAGAUUGAAACAAUGGUAAAUAGCCCAAGCAACAUCAGGAAAAGAUCAAAAAGCAUUUCUCAUUUGUUAGUCAUAAUCAUUCUUUCUCUCGGUAGUGAGAGAUGCUGCACAUAUCGUAGAGUAAAAAUUGAAUGAAGCGGUGUCGUAGUAUUGGACUUGUAUGUCAAUCUUGGCUUAUCAAUAGCCAAUGCCGAUAUUUGAAUGAAUUCAAGCACUUAUUUUAAGUAGGCUUUGGGAUUUUCACAAUUUAUGGAUCCAAUGAGUCUUAACAAUUGAUGUGUUGGGGAAUUUCUUGCCUAUAACGGGUCCACUAGGCGGGGCUGUGUCAAUGGUUGAUCGUCUAUGCCCCAUAUGCAACAUUAAUUUGAGACUCACAUGAACAGCUAUAGGAAUGGACCCAAUCUACACGUGCACAGACACUACAUGGAGGAAGCUAUUCUUUGGCUGACGGCAUAAAAUGUAUAAAUUCUCAAAAUCUCUGCCUUCUUUGCGCUUUUGCACUUUGGAUUUAGCUUGCGAUUAGUAAGGGCCCUGGACUUACUUUAAGUUGUGUUGAUUACGAAAAAGUUCUUGAGGAGAUAUGGCUAUACUCUCCCGAAUUCGAUGCUUCCAAAGGUCACAAGUAGUUCAACUUGGGCAACUAGAAAAGAGUAACGACGAGGCCGGAAUGUUAUGGAGCAUUAGCCCAUUGGUCAUUUUCAUCUCAACCUUUCUAAAUGUGGAGAUAACUCCACUUUUCAGGUGUUAAUACUUUAUAAAGGUGCUUCUAAGAUAGAUUAUUCCUCGAGUAAUGGCCAAAUAUCAAACCCUGAGGAUCAAUUUUUCUAACAAGAAAGGGAUGAUGUUGUUGAACUUGAAGAUUUAGAGGGUUUCCUGCAAUGUCGAUCGAUUUUACCCUGUUCUAGCGAAGUAUCUGAUUGCCUAUCACUCACUCAUCAUGAGAAUUUGAGUCUUAUUAGUCAUGUUUCUGCCUUUAUCAGUGCCUUUUCUUUGUUCUUUCCAAAUUCUUUAAUGCUUUUUGAUGAGCGUUUCGGAUGUUGAUUUAUACAGUAAUAUAGGGGAAGUGCAGAUUGCAAUUAAUUGGUGAGGUAACUAGCUCUAAUGUGAAGGGGAUGUAAAAUUAUUUGAUAAAUUUUAAUUUUUCUGAUUUUCCAUGGAAAUACUAACUACCAAUGUAUGCUAAAUCAUUUCAUACAAAGUCAAUGCUCAGUAAUUUCUGGAAGUGGAAUCACCAUAAUCUAAAACUUUACACAGACAAGUCUCAAUCGGCAAAGAAUUGGAACUCACCGAAGUCGCAAAUCUUGAAAAUCAAUGACGGCAGAGCUUUUUUUGAAGGUGAAACAAUUGGAGCUAUUUUGGGAAUUCUUCGCAACGAAACGGGAGCUCUACUGGAUGGCUCUACUACGAAUGUUCCAGCAUUGUCGGCGUUUUAGACGGAAGCCAUUCCCCUGCUCGAAGCUUUGAAACGUUUUCAGUCGAGAAGAGAGUGUUGGAGCUCGAGUCUGAAUGCGAAGAGCUGGUCAACGUUGUGCUGAUGAAGACAGCUCUAAUAGAGAAAGCCCAGCUCUCUUUGGCCCAAUUUUACUCUCUUUUUGGCCCAUUGUCACCGGUUCGCAAACAAAAUGGCUGAUUGGGUCGUGAAAAUCUAACAUACGAAUGCUCUCCCUCCCUCUUGAGUGGCCCAUCCCUCCAAUCUUUAUGGAAUUAUUUGCGUUUGGAUGCCCCUUUGGUGGGCUUUUGUUUUAAAGACCCCCGGGUUUUAAUUCAUGGCAUGUCUUCAAAUUUGAAAGCUUGACUCGUAUAUUAGUUUGUCUUAAGCUCGAAUUGGUCGACGGUCAAAACCCAAGUUCAAAAUUACAUGGAAAGUAGACGAUCAAGCAAGUCUUAAGAGCUAGAAUCCGGAGAAAUUGGACAAUUCCAAGUGAGGUUGUUCACACAAUUUGACUUGAAAAACUAGAAAACUGAAAUUGGACCAGCAAGUGAAUGGAAAUAUUAAUUAAACUGGAUUUUCAUCCCUAUCUUGUUGGGGAAAAGACAAAUAAUUAGUGCUCGAGUCUUUUCCAACUACUCUGCACCAUGCAUUGUUUCUUUAUAACUCAGUAUCCAUAUGAUUGAUUUUUGGUUGAAAUAGCCUCAUAAGUAUGAUCAUUACUCCAAUCUAAUGAAGUAAAAUAACCUUCACUCCAAUCAUGACGCCUCCUCCAACAUAAAAAGAAUAUCCCAUCCACGUCAAGAUGAAAGCAACAUAAUGACUAUAUAACUAAAUAAGUUAGCUGACUCUUUCCAUUUAUAAGAUUCAAUUAUUUGUAAGUUACCAUUCUUGUCUUGGUUGAGGUGGCCGACAAUAGUCCUUUUAUUUUUUAUUUUUUUAUUUUUUGGAUUGAGCAGUUUCGACUUGUAGCAAUGUGCUACCAAGUUUUCAACUUCCCAAGGAAUUGAUUUGUGUUUAGUUGAGGCCUUAACUAAUGUCAGGUUACCGAGCUCCAUCGUCCACACCCAAGGAAGUCACUUGUAUUUUAAUUGAUUAGUCUAUAACUUUUUUAAUUUUCUCGCUAUUUCUUUUCAUACGCAAUAGUUGUGCUCUUUUUCUAGUAUUAAGUAAACAAAUAACAAUUGAGAAACAUCCCAUAUUCUUUCUGGUCUGCUCAAGCCAUUGGUAAAUUGGCUAGUGCAGUGGGCAAGCCUUUAUAUGUAGACCAGAGAACUGAAUAGAUGAAUAUGUUGUCGUUUGCUCGAGUUUGUGUGGAGAUCACAGCUAAUCAGCCUAUUUGUGAAUUUAUUGAGUUGGUACAUAAUGGCAAAUCUUGUGAAAUAGGGGUGGAACUUGAAUGGAAGCCGGUUGCAUGUUCUAGUUGUGGCAUAUUUGGGCAUAAUUGCAGCCCUCUUGUACCUUGGAGCUCUACUGCUCGUGCUUCUGCAGGUCGACCGGUGGAUACAGUUGCUGCGCCACAGGGCCCAGCUGAUGACGGUCGCUCUACUCAAGUGGUAGCCUCUACUCCUGGAUCUCCCACUUUGUUUGAGGUCCCUAUUGUCCUCCAGAAGCAAACUUUGGAGGAAAACCCAGUGUCUCGGGUUGGUAAACCAGUUCCUGUUCAGUCUACACCGGCGGUGGACUCCUCACAUAAGCAAUCGGUUGAAGCCCCUAUUAAAAAUCCUCCCGUGCCUUCGAGCACUAAGGAUGCUGGUCGACCUGGUGAUGGUCGUGAAAUGGUUUUAGCUACAACCUCUACUCAAGCUACUGCAGAUCCGAACCCAGCUAAUUUGGGUUGGAAUAAGGUGAAAUGCAAGAAGAAAAAACAUCCUCCUGCCAAGGAUAUGGCUUCUUUUGGCUUAGUUUUGCCCAGUAAGGGGGGUGUCAAUCUUUGAAGCUCAAGGCGCCUCUUACUUCAGAACCCCUCAAUCCACCAAUGAAGCCUUCUAAAGGCAGUUUGAAAGCCCCUCCCAAGGCUAAUACGGGUCGUCCUUCCCUUGCUCCUAAGAAGGAAGGUCCUCCUGGCCCUCUGGCCCCUUUGGAAGGUUCAGAUGAAAUUUGCAGCUCUAACGGCAAUGCUGACUCAAGUGAUGAUGAUCUACUAUCGGGUGGCCCCCAUUCGCUGAAAAGCCCCCCACCUCAUACUGGGACGACAAGUUUAUAGGAACAUUUUCUGUUGCUCUGCCCUGAUCCUCCUGACCCGACCCCCUCUGCAACAACAAAAGCGACUUCUACCAGUCGCAAGCCCUCUAAGAAGAGGUAACCUUCUUUCCUCCCUUUGUAAAUAUGUUUUUGGGUUUUUGGAAUGUUAGAGGUAUAAUGAAUCCUAUAAGGCGGGCUAAGAUCAGGAAAUUUGUUUCUUCGAACAAGUUGUGCCUGGUCGGUCUGAUUGAGACGAAAGUCCCUGAGUCCCUAUUCGAGUCUGUCUCUUCUACCUUGAUAAGGGGUUGGAAAUGGGCUUCGAACUAUGAUUUUUCUCCUCGUGGAAGAAUUUGGGUUGGGUGGAACCCGGAUCUCGUUACUUUUGAUCCAUUCGCUUUCAGUGCCCAGGCUAUUCAUGGUUGUCUUAAACUCAACAAUUCUAAUUCUCACUGUUGUAUCUCUGUGGUUUACGGUGAUCACACUUUUGUGCGUCGAAGACCACUUUGGGAGGACCUCAUCUACCAUAAUGAUGUCUUACAGGACACUGCUUGGCUUGUUGCUGGUGACUUCAAUGCCAUUAAAGAUCCCUCGGAUCGUUUUGGAAGCUCGGAUACUUGGAUUCCUUAUUUUGAUGAAUUCGGCCAGUGUUUAGCCCAAACAGAGCUGGUUGAUCUUAGAUAUGUGGGUCUCCGCUUUACCUGGUCCACCUCGGCUGGUGCGAAUAGGAAGAUGAGAAAGAUUGAUUGGGUCUUGGUUAACACCAAGUGGAACCUUGAUUACUCCUUCUCGGAAGCAUCUUUCCUUAACCUGGGGAUCUCCGAUCACUCUCCUAUGAUCGUAAGAGUUCUUAAUCCGGUCUCUAAAAAGAAGCCAUUCAAAUUUUUUGAUUUCUGGUCAAAGCACCCAAAUUUCCUCUCUAUUGUGCGGCAGGCAUGGGACAGCCCGGUAAAAGGUGUUCCCAUGUUCAAACUUGUCUCUAAACUGAAGAUUUUGAAAAGCCGCCUUAAGUUACUUAACCAGGAGUCUUUUUCAAACAUCUCGGUGAGGACAACAGAAGCAAGAGAGGCUCUUCGCAGCACCCAAGUUGCUCUUCAAGCUGACCCUGAAAACGUCCAGCUUACAGACCAAGAGAAAUGUCAGCGGCGUAUCUUUGUCGACCUGAGGAACCAAGAGGAAUCCUUCUAUAGAAAAAAGUCAAGAGUAAGAUGGCUUAAGGAAGGGGAUAGGAACACUAAAUUCUUCCACAACUUUGUCAAAAGAAGACAACUCGGCAAUCGAAUUCUUUCUGUCAAAGAUCCAUUCGGGUCUAUAGUCACGGACCCCUUAUUGGUUCCGCAAGUGUUUGUAUCCUUCUUCACAGACCUUCUUUCACCUCAUGGGGUGCUGUCUAAGCCUUCACUUCAAGAGGUAUAUAUGUCUAUUCGGAGGCCUCUUUCGGAUGCUCAGGUGUGCUCUCUUUCUGCCCCAGUUUUUGAUGUUGAGAUAAAGAACACUCUUUUCUCCCUUCCCAAAGGCAAAGCACCGGGUCCGGAUGGUUAUACAACUGAGUUCUUUAAGAACAAUUGGGAUAUUGUGAGGUCUUUGGUUUUGGAAGCAAUCAAAGACUUCUUCUCUUCUGGUCGUCUUCUCAAAGAGGUAAAUAACACUAUCUUGGCUCUGGUGCCAAAAAUCCCAACGCUUGUGCUGUUACUGACUUCAGGCCCAUUGCGUGUUGCAACGCGAUUUAUAAGGUUAUUACGAAGAUCCUUGCUAAUCGCCUAGCUGCUGUUUUGAAUGACCUCAUAAGCCCGUCGCAGAAUGCAUUUGUGAAGGGUAGAAGAAUCAGAGAUAACAUUCUCUUGGCUCAAGAGCUGUUUGCAGGUUUCCAUUUAGAACCUUAUCUUCCAAAAUGUGCCAUUAAGGUUGAUUUCCAAAAGGCGUACGACACGGUUGACUAGGACUUCUUGGAGCUCACUCUCUUGGCUUUUCGCUUUCCAGAUUGGAUUAUUCGUCUGAUCAUGGUCUGUGUUCGCACUUCUAAGUACUCCAUCUCUAUUAAUGGUGAAUUGCAUUGGGUUUUUCCAAGGCGGCCGUGGCAUCCGCCAAGGAGAUCCUAUGUCUCCUUACUUGUUUACUUUAGUUAUGGAGGUAUUUUCGGGAAUUUUGAACUCGCGAACAACUGCCAAAGAUUAUAAGUAUUUCUGGAGGUGUAAAGUUGUGAAGCUAUCUCACCUCUUUUUUGCAGAUGAUGUGUUCCUUUUUUGUCAGGCAGACUGGCCUUCUGUGGUAAUGCUUAAAAGGGGUCUGGAUACUUUCUCCUCCUAGAGUGGGCUUCUUCAGAACAAGAACAAGAGUGAGAUCUUUCUCUCGGGCGGGCCUUCAUCCCUACGGAACACAAUUCUGUUGACAUUUGGCUUUCAAGAAGGGAAACUCCCGGUCCACUAUCUGGGUGUGCCUAUAAUUUCUUCUAGACUGCGGAAAGCAGACUGCAUCGUCUUGAUAGAUCGCAUAACCGCCAGGGUCCAAUCUUGGGCUCAACGUUUUCUAUCCUUUGCAGGUAGGCUUCAGCUCAUAAGGUCAGUUCUACACUCCAUACAAGCCUUUUGGGCUAGUGUCUUCUCCUUGCCUUCCUUGGUUCUAAUGACCAUUGAGCGUAUCUUGAGACAAUUCCUAUGAAAGGGCACUACCCUGGGCCGGGGGGGUGCUAAGGUAUCUUGGGAUGACGUUUGUCUUCCCAAAGAAGAAGGUGGUUUAGCCAUUCGAAAACUGAAGGAUUGCAACGAAGCUUCAAUGCUUAAGUAUAUUUGGAUACUCUUUACCGAUAAAGAAUCCUUGUGGUGCCGUUGGGUGCAUUCAAAUUUCUUAAAGAAAGUGAAUUUCUGGAUUUCUUCCUACCCCUCUCUUUGUUCUUGGGCGUGGAAGAAAAUACUACAACUCAGAAGGUUUUUUCGGCUCUCCUUCUUUUGGAAAAUCGGUAAUGGGCUUUCGGUUUCUCUUUGGCAUGACCAUUGGCUUCCUUGUGGCCCCUUGGACACUUUUAUUCCGGCCUCUAUGAUGGACAGUAUAAAUCUCCCUAACAAUGCGGAUGUGGCAGACCUGUUUUCUCCUGCAGGAUACACGCUAAAAUCUCUUCUCCAUAGUUGGGGCAUUGUCCUCCCGAAUUUAUCCUUGGCUCCUGAUCAAUUCUCUUGGCAGUGUGAUCCAACUGGUUCGUUCUCGGUUUCUUCUGCUUGGAGCACCAUUAGAGCGAAAAGAGACUGUGUUCCGUGGGCUUCUCUAGUCUGGGAUAGUGCCAUAGCUCCUCGGUACCAGUUCCGUCUUUGGCUUAUUACUAAAAAUCGCCUCCCCACUCAAAUGCUCCUCCUCUCUUAUGGUAGAAUUGAUUAUACGGUGUAUGCUUUUUGCAAUGCCCAACCAGAUUCAAUUGACCACCUUUUCUUUGAAUGUCACAACUCCGCUACGCUUGCAUACUUCUGGGCUUCUAGGUGUAACCUUCCUUGGAGGAGUAGAACUUGGAUGGAUACCAUCUCUUGGGCGCUUAAGUUCUUAGCCAGAAAGGACUUUUAUCACAGUAUUGCACGGUUCUCUUUCGCAGCUAUGUGCUAUAUGAUCUGGAAAAAGAGGAAUUGCAUCAUUUUCCAUGGAGAAUCCUUUGCGAUCUCGGAUUUAAAGAAUCACCUUAUUAAGGCGGUCAAGGACCGAGCUCUUACCUUCAGAAAUGUUCCUAUGUCUCCAAAGAACAAGAGACUCUAGAAAGGUUGGGGUUUUGACCCUUCGGUUUUUGCUCAGUCGCCUGGUUCGUCCUAAGCGUCUAGUCUGUGCCUUGUUUUGCUUUCUAGCCUUCUCUUAGGCUCUCUGUUCUUCGACCCUUUCCCUUUUGUAUUUCUGAGGGUUGCUGGGUUUGUUGGUUGGCGCUUGGCCUUUGGUUUGGGCUGUUUAGCUUUGGUUCUCUUGCUUUUUGCCUGUUUGGCUUGUUACUUGGCUCCCUUUCACUCUUUCUGCUGUUGCAAUUAGAGUAGAAGUUUUUGGUGCCAAUUUUGUAUCUUGUUCCAAAGCUCUAAUAUAAUUUCUUACCUUUUACCAAAAAAAUAAAAUAAAAAAAUAACAAUUGAAAAUGUAAAUGUAAAUAAAAUUGCCAAAAAAAGACCAAUAAAUGCAACGUCUAGGCCGUACCAUAGGUCUCUAGGUAGUCACGCCUCAACUUUUGUGCCCCUUGAUCAUUAAAAGAAGUGGACUAAAAAAGAGAUGAUUUCUUCAUCGUAGCUUACUAACAUGAAAAUUGAACACGCACUUCAUUUUUAGUUAAAUUUGCUUAUUAGUAAAAAAUAAACUCUCAUGUGUCAUGUAAGAGGGUGUCUCAAUUAGUGAAGAUUAUCAAAUCAUUCCGAAGCAUGAGAGAACAAUGUAACAUUAUCACUUGCCGCAUUAGAUAAUUUUGUUCUCAUCUCUUUUCCCUUCACCUAACCUACAAAAAACGAAAGGAGUAAUCGAAUAUCCCCUGCAUCUGUAUCACUUAUAUUCUCUUUGUGUGUACUUGCACCACAGUAAAAUUAAGAUAUAGCAAAUAUGUGAUUGGCUCUAUUUAAAAAUAUCGCGAUGGGAGUUCACAUCCACAUCAAUCAUAUGCAAAUUAAUCAUCAAAACAAGAAAAACUAAUCAUUUAACCGGAGAUUAUCCUUUAUUAAGAAAUUUUGCAAAACACAACAUACAUUUAUUCUUUAAAAUUAAAAAAAAAAUCAUGUUUACGUGGCAUCUCUAUCUUGCAAUUAUUGACCAAUAGUAAUAUGAUAAUGUUAUGUUAACAUUGAUAUUUUCAAAAUGACAAAUAAUGCAAAUGACAUUAUUCUUUAGAAUAAAAAGUUAUGCUUAAUUAAUCCCAUGAUUGAUAAUGCUGGUUGGGGAGUUGGUUUCUAGUUUUGGAACCAAAGAUCCUCCAUUAGAAUCCCACAAAUGCACGCAAACUGUCUCAAUUAACGAAGAUUAUUGAAUCAUUCCAAAUCAUAAGAGACAAUGACACCUCUUCCUCUGAUCCGAUCGUCCUUCAUGCAUCGGAUAAAAUAAACACUAUAAUCUUCCUUCUUUGUUCUUAGCUUCAUGAAGAGAGACCCGGUCAUAUUUGUGUGAUUUUUGUUGUUCAAAUUCACUGUUGGCGUGUCAAUGUGCGCGCUGUAAGUGCUUUGUAUGAUCCAUCGCAUGAAGUGCUCACUGUGACAUGUUCGUAUUAAUAAUCUGAAUCACAAAUCAACGUUCACUGCAAUGCAUGUUUGUCUGUUAGAUGGCCAAUACUUGUUUAGUUCUCCCUGCCAAAAAUCUUGCAAAUAUGAUUCCGUUUACAUCUAUGUUACUUUGGCGGUUUCUGGAUUAAUGUUCCGUAAACUGUACAAUCUCUUCUAUUGGGAGGAGAAAGAAAUUCUCAGCAUUAUCUCCCGCAUGCUUAAAAUUUAUUCUCAUGGUUUUUACAUUGGAUCACCUG